AGGCCUUUCCAUCUUCCUAGAGUGCCUAACCUGGCCUGUGUGCUUGCAAGCUUCUGCUCAUUCUUCAAUACCCAGCAGAGACUUCCUCCUCCAUGCAGCCUUCCAAGACCCACCCGAGUACAGAUCAGAUACCAUCAGCAUAAUGUCAUCGAUGCAGUGGACCAAUGUGACAUGGGGAACAUAAAGAUGGUCACGAUUUUUGCAGACUCCAUAUGCAAAGUAUCAUAGGCCUUUCCAUCUAUCCGGAGUGACCUACCAGAGACAGGACAGUUUGACCAGCAAGCUUCUGAUCACUCUUCAACACCCAGCAAGAAGUCUUAUCCUCCAUGCAGCCUUCUAAGACCUCUCUAAGCACAGGUAUCAGACCCUCCUCUGGAUCACUCUGUCUUGUUACUGCAUUUAUCUCACUGGAUUUCAGUGAAGUGUGUAGACAACUAAUUUGUGCCUGUCUGAUCUGUGAGCUCUUCAUUCAAAGCAGUUGGCUCCUGAGUACAGGAUAAACCCCUAGAAUUGAAUAAAUUUGGUCUUACCUCA
Molecule: small RNA, 534 nt
Filed under: Pongo abelii (Sumatran orangutan)
Lineage: Eukaryota; Metazoa; Chordata; Mammalia; Primates; Hominidae
Description: processed transcript
Source: RNAcentral